This 326-nucleotide RNase P RNA is filed under the name human gut metagenome. Its description in RNAcentral is "Bacterial RNase P class A". It matches the Rfam family "Bacterial RNase P class A". Rfam says of the family: Ribonuclease P (RNase P) is a ubiquitous endoribonuclease, found in archaea, bacteria and eukarya as well as chloroplasts and mitochondria. Its best characterised activity is the generation of mature 5'-ends of tRNAs by cleaving the 5'-leader elements of precursor-tRNAs. The record is from RNAcentral.
AGCAGGCCGGAUGACCGCGGUGAAAAUACGAGGAAAGUCCGAGCUCCACAGAGCAGGGCGCCGGAUAACGUCCGGUGGAGGCGACUCCAAGGAAAGUGCAACAGAGAGAUACCGCCGGCUUUUGCCAGUAAGGGUGGAAAGGUGAGGUAAGAGCUCACCGGCUGCUAUGGCGACACUGCAGUCCUGUAAACCCCGUCCGGAGCAAGAUUGAUAGCGGAACUUUUAACGGCUGCUCGCCGGUUCCCAUGUAAUCGCUUAAGUUUUUCGGUAACGGAAAAAAUAGAUAGAUGGUCAUCUAAGACAGAACUCGGCUUAUAGACCUGUCU